UGAUUUCUAUUAUGCUAAGGUGUUAAUUUCUUUUCUUGCACAUCGAUGUUGGUUUCUUGCAAGUGUUUCAUCUGUUCUUCGUUUUCUGUACUCUUAAUUCAUAUCAAUAGAUUGGGAUUUGUUUAGAUUCAUCUAAUUCUGGUGCUGAUUUUCACAUCUUUCUCGAUUGAAUUACAUGAAGAAAUCAUCAGCGGCCAUGGUUCCUUCCUUGGCCUUACCUAUGCUACGAAUGAGCACACCGCAUCUAUUCCAACAUCUGUCAAGUUGUUUUAACUGGAAAUUUCCUUCUCAGUUAGGACAUUUUUAGUACAAUGUAUAGCCUAAACCAAUAUCCACUGUCUAUCCACUUCUCCUCCUUGGUGGCUCAUGCAGUGUCUUGUGUUUGAAAUUAAAGACAAAUGUCCUUAGUCAAGUGUCGCUUUUAAGAGGACGUUUGAAACAUUCGUUCUAACAAACGACAUGAAACAAAUCUUAUCUUAUGUUUAAAAAAAUCCAGAUAUAUUUGUAGCUCAUUCAAUUGUGUAUUUGAUGGUUAGAAUUCUCUGCACCGUUUAUCAAAAUGAGAGGCAAUCAUUUUUUUACUUCAUAGGUGCUUUCCAAGUUUCUUAGUAAAAAGGAGGACCCAGUUCAUUGAUAAGAUUGCUCCUGCAAUUCUUUUUAGCUUGCUGCUCCGAACGGCCAUAUGAUGUUUGAUAAAAGACUCAUUAGAGCAUAGAAUGUGGGUAGCUAUGAAGUUUAUUGGUUUUAAUUCAAAUGAGUUUUAUGAAAUUGGAGUUGAUUUUGUAUUACAGACAAGGUGUUUGAUGAAAUGCUUCUGUAGACAAGAAUAUUAAAUGUUAAUGCACUUAUAAAGUCCGGGAUAAAAAGCAUAUUUUUUUAAAUUAUUACGGGUAAGGGCAAUCUCAAUAUGAAUCAAAUUACAUAAUAUAGGUAGUUUUUAUCUAUUUAUUAUAAGUCAUUUUAAGUUUGAUUAUAAUUUAUUGAAAGAGGGGGCUCCUUUUUUUUCUCUUUUUUUUGCUACAGUCAUGGCCUCAGGGGGACCUAACAACAACAACCAUUUUGCUUGGAAGACAGGUUGCUUUAACUUUAUAAAGAUGACGAGGGAAGAAAGAUUCAUGUAAUCUGCUAGAAGUAAAGUUGGAAACAGUAAGUUUUUAGCAAAGCAAUGCAAAAGCGAAGGAAUCAUAUAUUAUCACAAUCGAAGGAGAGUGAUGAUCGAUCAACUCGCCAGCUGAAAAGGUAGUACUGCACUACUUCUUGGUAAUUUGUGCCCAAUUUGUACUAAAUAAAUAAAAAAUAACACAGUUCAAAAUCGAAUAGUAUAUGAUAUUGCUACU
This 1337-nucleotide long non-coding RNA is filed under the name Populus tremula. RNAcentral describes it as "long non-coding RNA (PTRE_LNC002589)". Lineage: Eukaryota; Viridiplantae; Streptophyta; Magnoliopsida; Malpighiales; Salicaceae. The record is from RNAcentral.